GACGGAGGGGGCAAGCGUUGCUCGGAAUUACUGGGCGUAAAGGGCGCGUAGGCGGGAUGGCAAGUCGGUCGUGAAAGCCUUCGGCUCAACCGAAGAACGUCGGCCGAUACUGCCGUUCUUGAGGGAUGCAGAGGAGACUGGAAUUCCCGGUGUAGCGGUGAAAUGUGUAGAGAUCGGGAGGAACACCGAUGGCGAAGGCAGCCAUCUGGACCGACACUGACGCUGAGGCGCGAAAGCGUGGGGAGCAAACAGG
This 253-nucleotide ribosomal RNA is filed under the name uncultured bacterium. RNAcentral describes it as "partial 16S ribosomal RNA". It matches the Rfam family "Bacterial small subunit ribosomal RNA", at positions 524 to 776 of the family's 1533-position model. The record is from RNAcentral.